This is a long non-coding RNA of Phalaenopsis equestris, 1565 nucleotides long. RefSeq lists it as uncharacterized. The record is from RefSeq and is a predicted model, not a curated record. Lineage: Eukaryota; Viridiplantae; Streptophyta; Magnoliopsida; Asparagales; Orchidaceae. The transcript has 2 exons.
GUCGGCUUCUUUGGAUUGGAAACCGCCUCCUUCUCGGGUUUAGAUCCCUGCGUUUCCGGAGGAGGUCGAGAUUAGCUAUCUGGCUUCUCUUAAGACUCGUGGUACGAUUUCAUGGGGAGAGGCUGGUUUUCCUCGGAGUUUCCAGAUCUGGCGAGAUCCGGUGAUUUAUUGAACGGGAUGCGGCCGUUUUCUAUCCCGGUGGAAGAAGGAUGUCGUAUUUACGAAUCAGGUUGAGGAAGGCUUGUAUACUUUGUUUCAUGUAAUACUGAGAAAUAUAGAUAGGUGAUCUACAUGUGGAUGAUCGAGAAGGAACGAGAGCUUGGAUUGUGGAUGAGGUAACGGAUGAUGUGCUAUAUGUUAUCCGAUAGAUGUUGUCAUCCCGGCCUUUGCCAUGUUGGGUGCGCUCGCAUGGCAGGCCAAACAUCCUUAAUAAAAUUAAUCUUUUUUGGGGGGGUGGGGGAAUCGUACGGGGUGUUUUUGAACCCUGGGUUCUCCCUUGUGCGUCGUCUCUUUAGUUAUGCCAUGCUCUCUGCAACUCUGGUCUUCUUACUACGAGCUCGCAGCUAAUGCUCUCUUCUCAACCAACUGACAUACAUCGUGUGAGGUAAAUUUAAACAAGCUUUAGUUACUACUAUCUGCAAAUCUCAGCCGUUAAUCAAAGAGUUUUAUAUAAAAAUUAAAGGUUUCUAAUGAUCGGCCAAACAUUUCAAUGGCGUAAAUUUCUUCUCCGAAGGUACUAAAUCACGAACUCAUUCUAUCUAUUAAGCGAAUUAUGAAUUCCGGCUCCAUCACACCAACAGUAAUUUUAUUUUUGAGAUGUUUUUUUGCGAUCUGUUGCAGCCCGAAAGAUCUGUUGAGAUCUACGAAAAUUCAAGAAGAUUAACAGUUUUAAGAGCAUAAAUAUUGAAGUUGAAAUCAGCUUUAUUAAGAUUUUUAAAUGAAUUUAAAAAUUACUUCUUACGGAACUAUGAAGAAUUUCUUCGCUCAGUAACAAAAGUUAUGAUUUAAACAUUAUCGAAUUACUUCAUGCAAUUUAUUUAUGGUGUUUUUGACCCAAGAUAGUUUGCUGUAUUGGCGAGGUGUAUUUUGCUGUUUUUCUUUUAACUUGUAAUCUAAAUCUGUUGUACAGGGAUGUGACUAUAAGAUAGUGUUUCAUUUCAUGACAUGCAAAUAAUAUAUGUAAUACUGUCUCUAAAGUCUAGUUUUUUUUAUAUUUUUCAAUGGAGUACCUGUCGGUAGUUUUUUGGCAAGAUUUCUCCUCAAGCAGAUGGUAAGUGCUGCUGCUGAGUACCGGAGUGUUGGAUGUGCUGCUGCUGCUUGGACAUACUCAAAAUAUUCAUGGGGUGGUAGAAGUUGAUGCUCGCAGAUAAGGAGCGGAAGGGAUUUUCAGUUCUGAAGCUUUAUAUGAUCGAUUGAUCGUUUUGGUUGAUUUUAAUUUCUUUUCAUUCUUUAAUUGUUUAAUUUUAUUUAUUUUUUCUUAAACAUUUUCUUAGUUAUUUCAUGCGGCGUGAUGCUGUUUUAAUUUGUUAUUUUAGCGAUUGUUAGUUAAUUUUUUAAACGGCUAA